Mauremys reevesii (Reeves's turtle) is the source of this 376-nucleotide long non-coding RNA. RefSeq lists it as uncharacterized. The transcript has 3 exons. The record is from RefSeq and is a predicted model, not a curated record. Lineage: Eukaryota; Metazoa; Chordata; Testudines; Geoemydidae.
UCAGAGGGAGGCUCUAACCCACCAGGCUGCAGAAAGGACCCACAGGCCAGUGAUCAGGGGCUCGGCUCAGCGCGAAGGCAGGACAAUGGCCAGGGACAAUAUCUAUGAGAACAUGCCGAUGACGGAAGCUGCUCCCCAGCCCAAAGGAAACCCUCCCAAGACAUUGGUCCCUUGGCAGCACAGGGCACGGAGCAUCGUCACUGCUGUCCUUCUCCUCCUGGGUCUGGCCCUGGCCACAUCCCUCCUUGCUGUGACACUUUUAUGGGUCAAGACCAUCCAGCUCUACUCGUAUGAUAUUCCAGUCCUCCUCCACGCUGGCAAUACCUCCCAACUCUGUGUCAUCUGCCGAUUUCAUUAGCGCACUCCCCGUUUUUGU